This 208-nucleotide ribosomal RNA is filed under the name uncultured bacterium. RNAcentral's name for it is "partial 16S ribosomal RNA". It matches the Rfam family "Bacterial small subunit ribosomal RNA", at positions 568 to 774 of the family's 1533-position model. The record is from RNAcentral.
CGCGUAGGCGGUUCGUUAAGUCGGAUGUGAAAACUCUGGGCUCAACCCAGAGCCUGCAUCCGAAACUGGCGAGCUAGAGUUCUGGAGGGGGUAGCGGAAUUCCUGGUGUAGCGGUGAAAUGCGUAGAUAUCAGGAGGAACACCGGUGGCGAAGGCGGCUACCUGGACAGAAACUGACGCUGAGGCGCGAAAGCUAGGGGGAGCAAACA